AACGAACGCUGGCGGCAUGCCUAACACAUGCAAGUCGAACGAGACCUUCGGGUCUAGUGGCGCACGGGUGCGUAACGCGUGGGAACCUGCCCUUAGGUUCGCAAUAACUCCCCGAAAGGGGUGCUAAUACCGGAUAAUGUCUUCGGACCAAAGAUUUAUCGCCUUUGGAUGGGCCCGCGUUGGAUUAGCUAGUUGGUAGGGUAAAAGCCUACCAAGGCGACGAUCCAUAGCUGGUCUGAGAGGAUGAUCAGCCACACUGGGACUGAGACACGGCCCAGACUCCUACGGGAGGCAGCAGUGGAGAAUAUUGGACAAUGGGCGAAAGCCUGAUCCAGCAAUGCCGCGUGAGUGAUGAAGGCCUUAGGGUUGUAAAGCUCUUUUACCCGGGAUGAUAAUGACAGUACCGGGAGAAUAAGCUCCGGCUAACUCCGUG
RNAcentral lists this ribosomal RNA (433 nucleotides) under uncultured bacterium. RNAcentral's name for it is "partial 16S ribosomal RNA". It matches the Rfam family "Bacterial small subunit ribosomal RNA", at positions 29 to 507 of the family's 1533-position model. The record is from RNAcentral.